Molecule: ribosomal RNA, 492 nt
Filed under: uncultured bacterium
Lineage: Bacteria
Description: partial 16S ribosomal RNA
Rfam family: Bacterial small subunit ribosomal RNA
Source: RNAcentral
AGUGAACGCUGGCGGUAGGCCUAACACAUGCCAGUCGAACGGCAGCACAGUAAGAGCUUGCUCUUACGGGUGGCGAGUGGCGGACGGGUGAGGAAUACAUCGGAAUCUACUUUUUCGUGGGGGAUAACGUAGGGAAACUUACGCUAAUACCGCAUACGACCUACGGGUGAAAGCAGGGGAUCUUCGGACCUUGCGCGAUUGAAUGAGCCGAUGUCGGAUUAGCUAGUUGGCGGGGUAAAGGCCCACCAAGGCGACGAUCCGUAGCUGGUCUGAGAGGAUGAUCAGCCACACUGGAACUGAGACACGGUCCAGACUCCUACGGGAGGCAGCAGUGGGGAAUAUUGGACAAUGGGCGCAAGCCUGAUCCAGCCAUACCGCGUGGGUGAAGAAGGCCUUCGGGUUGUAAGGCCCUUUUGUUGGGAAAGAAAAGCAGCAGGUUAAUACCCCGCUGUUCUGACGGUACCCAAAGAAUAAGCACCGGCUAACUUCGUG